GACGUAGGGCGCGAGCGUUGUCCGGAUUUAUUGGGCGUAAAGAGCUCGUAGGCGGCUUGUCGCGUCGACUGUGAAAUCCCGCGGCUCAACUGCGGGUCUGCAGUCGAUACGGGCAGGCUAGAGUUCGGUAGGGGAGACUGGAAUUCCUGGUGUAGCGGUGAAAUGCGCAGAUAUCAGGAGGAACACCGAUGGCGAAGGCAGGUCUCUGGGCCGAUAUUGACGCUGAGGAGCGAAAGCGUGGGGAGCGAACAGG
Molecule: ribosomal RNA, 253 nt
Filed under: uncultured bacterium
Lineage: Bacteria
Description: partial 16S ribosomal RNA
Rfam family: Bacterial small subunit ribosomal RNA
Source: RNAcentral